This 87-nucleotide transfer RNA is filed under the name Holosporales bacterium. RNAcentral describes it as "tRNA-Leu". It matches the Rfam family "tRNA". Rfam says of the family: Transfer RNA (tRNA) molecules are approximately 80 nucleotides in length. Their secondary structure includes four short double-helical elements and three loops (D, anti-codon, and T loops). The record is from RNAcentral. Lineage: Bacteria; Pseudomonadati; Pseudomonadota; Alphaproteobacteria; Holosporales.
GCCCUCGUGGCGGAACUGGUAGACGCGAUAGACUCAAAAUCUAUUAUUCUUUCGGAUGUGGGAGUUCGAUUCUCCCCGAGGGUACCA